This 441-nucleotide ribosomal RNA is filed under the name uncultured bacterium. RNAcentral's name for it is "bacterial SSU rRNA". It matches the Rfam family "Bacterial small subunit ribosomal RNA", at positions 338 to 795 of the family's 1533-position model. The record is from RNAcentral.
CCUACGGGAGGCUGCAGUGGGGAAUAUUGCACAAUGGGGGAAACCCUGAUGCAGCAACGCCGCGUGAGCGAUGAAGGCCUUCGGGUCGUAAAGCUCUGUCCUAAGGGAAGAAUAUUGACGGUACCUUAGGAGGAAGCCCCGGCUAACUACGUGCCAGCAGCCGCGGUAAUACGUAGGGGGCUAGCGUUAUCCGGAAUUACUGGGCGUAAAGGGUGCGUAGGCGGCCCUUCAAGUCAGAGGUGAAAGGCUACGGCUCAACCCAGGAAUUGCACUCCAAACUGGAGGGCUAGAGUGCGGGAGAGGAAAAUGGUAUUCCCAGUGUAGCGGUGAAAUGCGUAGAGAUUGGGAGGAACACCAGUAGCGAAGGCGAUUUUCUGGAACGUAACUGACGCUGAGGCAUGAAAGCGUGGGGAGCAAACAGGAUUAGAUACCCUAGUAGUC